ACACGUAGGGGGCGAGCGUUGUUCGGAAUCAUUGGGCGUAAAGGGCGUGCAGGCGGUCCUGCAAGUCCGGCGUGAAAGACCCCGGCCCAACCGGGGGGACGCGCUGGAAACUGCGGGGCUUGAGGACAGGAGGGGAUGCCGGAAUUCCAGGUGUAGGGGUGAAAUCUGUAGAUAUCUGGAAGAACACCAAUGGCGAAGGCAGGCAUCUGGCCAUGUACUGACGCUGAGACGCGAAGGUGCGGGGAGCAAACAGGUUUAGAUACCCUGGUAGUCCGCACAGUAAACGAUGUGCACCAGGUGGCGGGGGGUCGACCCUCGGUACCGUAGCUAACGCAUUAAGUGCACCGCCUGGGGAGUAUGCUCGCAAGGGUGAAACUCAAAGGAAUUGACGGGG
This 394-nucleotide ribosomal RNA is filed under the name uncultured bacterium. RNAcentral describes it as "partial 16S ribosomal RNA". It matches the Rfam family "Bacterial small subunit ribosomal RNA", at positions 523 to 918 of the family's 1533-position model. The record is from RNAcentral.